GGUUCAAUGCCACAUCGUAGAUAGCUAAGGGCAGUGGCCCACAAAGCUAUGAUUGGACCAAAAACAAGCCUUUCACAUCUUGAUAGGAAAUUGUUAUUUCUCAAUAGAUUUACAGAGCUGUUUCAUGUGAUUACAAUU
Non-coding RNA from Cucumis sativus (cucumber), 138 nucleotides. The record is from Rfam. NCBI's taxonomy places the organism in Eukaryota, Viridiplantae, Streptophyta, Magnoliopsida, Cucurbitales, Cucurbitaceae.